GUAAAAAAAUAAAUAUCAAAAUCACCUGAAAUCAACAUAUUUGGUUUUAUGUUUUUCUCACAUGCCCCUAUCACUCCCAUUGAUCGUGAGCUUGUGGUGGCUAUGGUUACAUUUCAUUUGCUCUGUUGAACCGACCCUUUGGAAUGACUUCGAUAGCAACAGUGAACCUAUUGAGUGGAGAUUUCUCAACGAUCAUUCUCAUAAUAGCACAUUUGGUAAUAGUCAGUGACUAAUAUCCAAGCUGAGCUUGGUUAAAACCCUGGAUGGGAGAUCGAAGGGACAGCUGUAGACGGCCCCAUCUCUCCAGUAGGAGGUGCUGUAGACGGCCCCAGCUCUCCAGUAGGAGGUGCUGUAGACGGCCCCAUCUCUCCAGUAGGAGGUGCUGUAGACGGCCCCAUCUCUCCAGUAGGAGGUGCUGUAGACGGCCCCAGCUCUCCAGUAGGAG
Molecule: long non-coding RNA, 445 nt
Organism: Oncorhynchus tshawytscha (Chinook salmon)
Lineage: Eukaryota; Metazoa; Chordata; Actinopteri; Salmoniformes; Salmonidae
Source: Ensembl